This 83-nucleotide small RNA is filed under the name Marmota monax (woodchuck). Lineage: Eukaryota; Metazoa; Chordata; Mammalia; Rodentia; Sciuridae. The record is from RNAcentral.
GCAGGGCAUGGUGGUGAAUGCCUGUAAUCCCAGCUACUUGGGAGGCUGAGGCAGGAGGAUAGUGAGUUUAAAGCCAGCCUCAG